AAUUAUAUAAAAGUUUUGUUAAUUUCAGAAUACAAAAUAUUUUACGAAAAUUAGAGGAAAGAUCUCCAGUUUUGUCCGAUGCUGAGAAAAAUAUGCAGAAGGAACUUAAAGCCAUGUCAGAAAAAAUUACUUAUUUUAAGAAAUCUUUAGAUUUGGUUAAGGUUAAAAUGAAUUAUCAAAAGCAGCAGAAGUCACGACAGACAAGAACUUCCAGACCAAUGAUUAGUGGCUCACAAACAAAGCAAUUGAAAAGCGUUCUUAAAGAUCAAGGUGACCAGAUAACACAGCUUGUCAAAGAAGUUGGAGAGCUAAAAACCAAACUUGAUAUUUAAAAAAACAAUUUAGAAAUAUUUCUUUGCUGAAAUGGCAGCAAAUGUAAACUUAAUUUCCAAGGAAAUGAUUGAAAGCCAAAAGAAUAUAUAAGUUUGCCAUAGAUGUUGCCACUGGCUUUUAACUGACACGUGCAAGACAAAGAGAGUUAUAUGCCAAAAGUUUAAUGUACAAACUCACUGUUGCAUCAGUGCUCAUUUGCACAACUGUUUAUAAACUAACCUAGCCUUUACAGUAUGUACAAUUUGUUUCCUCUGAUAUGGGUUUUUGAAAAGUAUGGUCCAUAUUCUCUAUAGAAAAAAUGUGAAUGCUACAACAUAUGGUUUGGGGAAACAAGUCUGAAGAGUUAUGGUUCCCACGACUGCCCCACUCCAAGGGAGUUUUGUGCUCAUAUGAUGAUGUAAGUUCUUCAUCAAGUAAGAUAUGAAAUCAAAUGCAUAAAGCAAUAUCCCAAAAAAUCAUUGUUGAUACCUUUAUGAUACCUUUAAAAGUAACUUAAUGGUUGAGGUUAUUACUAUCAGUUGAAUAUGGAGCCUAGUGAAGUUGAUACAUUGUUUUUCAGCAAGUGUAUAUGUCAAAAAUGUAAACAUUGAUGAGAAAUUUGCAAUGUAUUUUUAUAAUAAAAGUUUUAAAUUACA
Lingula anatina is the source of this 968-nucleotide long non-coding RNA. The record is from RefSeq and is a predicted model, not a curated record. NCBI's taxonomy places the organism in Eukaryota, Metazoa, Brachiopoda, Lingulata, Lingulida, Lingulidae.